Molecule: long non-coding RNA, 736 nt
Filed under: Gadus morhua (Atlantic cod)
Lineage: Eukaryota; Metazoa; Chordata; Actinopteri; Gadiformes; Gadidae
Description: lncRNA (ENSGMOG00000023071.1)
Source: RNAcentral
UCUAUAUUGCCUUGUGUUCAGAGUCCGACAGCGCUGCUGCUGCUCCUCCUCCAUCAAAGAGGAAAAGGAAGCACAGGUGGACGCCAAGCAGGGUUACCAUUUGCCGCCACAAGUCUCAACUGAGGCAGGACACCAGGGUGUUAAAGGAGCAAAAGGGGAAGCCCCAAUGCCAGCCGGGGGACCCCUGCCCCACGUGCGCCCAACCCAGGACCCUGGACACGGGGCACGCGCUCUACAAGAGCAGUGCGUACUGCGAGUUGGAGGCGGGCCCUGGGGGCCUCACCGCUCGUGAGUGGCUCAUCAGCCAACAGGCCCCGGAGGACGCCGGGAAGGUGCCCAGGACCACCCUGUGGAACAUCGCCCGCAGGAAGGAGGAGCAGGUCGGCGGCUCUUCCCCUCGACGCAAAACGCACAAGCUGCGGAUCUGCCAGCGGUGCCUCCAGCCGGCGCAGAAGGACUUUGGCCACAGCCGGUUCGAUGGGGAGAGCUUCUGCUCCCUCUACGCCGGCAAAGCCGUAGACCUGUGGCUGGCCGAGAGGAGGGACCGCAAGAGGCGAAAGCCAAAGAGGAAGCAGAGGAAGCAGCGGGAGGAGAGGAGGGCGAAGGGCCCGGCGUCAGAGCUUGGAGAGGAACACAGCCCCGGCAGACUGUGAGGCUGCUCCUCCCCGGGAACCCCCCUCCUGUGUUGUGCUUGUUUUUAAUUUAAUAAAUCAGUUUGUAUUACACACGCUUGUCC